RNAcentral lists this unclassified non-coding RNA (5201 nucleotides) under Cimex lectularius (bed bug). Its description in RNAcentral is "tyrosine-protein phosphatase 10D, transcript variant X1". Lineage: Eukaryota; Metazoa; Arthropoda; Insecta; Hemiptera; Cimicidae. The record is from RNAcentral.
UCAGAACUUCAUUUCCUUUGCGGAAUCGGGGACAACAGCUGCCCUCCCAGUUUUUUUUUUGUUUGUUUUGUUUUUUGUUUUUACCCUUGUUUUUGUUGUUCAUUUCCCUUAUCGCCGUGGUCCGAAACACACGCAAAUGUUUUACUUUCUAACGUACUCGUGAUUCCGUCGAAGCCGAGUUUUUUCCGUGACAGAAACCAGACGUUCAAGACCGAAAGUUCUGCAAAUGGAAAUUUUUUGAGCCGUGCCGUGUCUUCAGUUUUGUCCAGUGACAGUCGGACGAUGGAUUUCGACAAGCUGCACAUCCAGAUCCUCUGCUUUUUAGGACUUUGGAUGAAGAUUGUGUUUGGGGCUGAAUUAGCAAUUCAGAUACCAGAAAACCUAAGCCAGGAUAAUAGCACUUAUCGUCUGGAUUACGUCCCAAAGUAUGGCCAUCCUCCACCCAACACUACAAUCCUGUCGAGAGACAUCGGUCACGUCAUCCAGUUCUCAAAAGGCCUUCCAGGCACCAAGUAUGAAUUUUGGCUUUACUACUCGAAUACUACUCUGCACGACUGGUUAACAUGGACAGCGUCCAUCACAACAGCUCCAGACCCACCUUCGAAUCUCACUGUUACCAUCAGAAAUGGAAGAUCUGCAGUUGUAAAUUUCAGCCCUCCAGUCCUUGGCAGCUACCAUUCAUUUAAAAUGAAGGUUAUUAGUUUAGCAGAACCAACAGUUCCAACCAGAACAAUUCUGCUCAACACAACUGAACCUUACACACUCCGUGAAUUAACACCUGGUGGAAGUUACCAACUUCAGCUUUUUACUGUGUUUGAUCAAAAAGAAAGUGUUGCUUACACAUCAAGGAACUUUACAACAAAACCAAAUACGCCAGGGAAGUUCAUUGUCUGGUUUAGAAAUGAAACGACGCUGUUAGUUUUGUGGCAGCCAUCGUACCCAGCAUCAAUUUAUACUCAUUAUAUUGUUCGAAUUGAUCCUCCUGAUGCAGCGGAAAGUAUGUUGUACGUUGAAAAAGAGGGUGAACCACCUGGCCCAGCCCAAGCAGCAUUCAAAGCCCUUAUUCCAGGACGAGCAUAUAAUAUUUCUGUUCAAACUAUGAGUGAAGAUGAGAUUUCCACGCCUACAGUAGCUCAAUACAGAACUAUACCGUUGCGACCUAUUAAUGUUCGAUUUGACAAAUCAACAGUAACUUCACAUAGUUUUACUGUACUGUGGGAUUCACCAAAUCGUCAAAGUGAGUUUGACAAGUACCAGAUUUCAAUUAAUCUCCGUCGUCAAGGAUCAGUUCCACCGAUUACAAGAAAUAGAAGUGACCCAACAUUCCAGACUUUUAAAGAGGGCCUGGAACCAGGACAAACGUAUCAUGUUUUGGUUAAAACAGUAUCAGGAAAAGUUACAUCGUGGCCUGUAGCAGUUAACGUCACAUUAAAACCUUUGCCUGUCGAAGAUUUAAAAGCUGAAAACAGUGGUAAUGGAGUAGUUGUGUUAAGUUGGAAACCCCAGAACUCGAGUACCCAAGAUCAGUAUAAGAUCAGUUACACAGAAAUGGGCGUCCUCAAUGGAGAUACAAAUACAAUGUAUACAGAAAACACUCAGCUCAUCUUGGAAUCCCUUCUUCCUGGUCGGAAAUAUUCAAUAGCAGUUCAAGCUGUUUCCAACCAGCAAGAAUCACAUGAGAAAAUCACAUAUCAAUCAACAAGGCCAUCUGCUCCUGUUAUUGAAGAUCUUAGACCUAUCGAAUAUGGUCUUAAUAUUUCAUGGAAGUCCGAUGUCAACUCUAGGCAAGAGAAAUAUGAGGUUAUCUACCACAGAAAUGAUUCGGAUGGCGAACCCAAGCAUUCAUUUACUACAGAACCACAUUUGUUGCUUACAAAUCUGUAUCCGGGUGCUGGAUAUGAAAUAAAAGUAUUCGCCAUCAGUCACAGUUUGUACAGUGAGCCUCAUGAUUACUUCCAAGCAGUUUUUCCAAAACCUCCAACAAACCUUACAAUGGAAAAUGUCACUAGUAACUCAGUCGUAGUGCGCUGGAUGGAACCAAUAGAUUCUCUAUUUUCCGAUUUCUCGAUAAGAUACCGCACAGAAGAUGAUUCUAAAUGGAUUAAACUACCGACUGUAAGACACACAGAAGCUGAAGUUGCGGAUUUGACUCCUGGUGAAAAAUAUACUAUUCAGGUCAAUACUGUUAGUUUUGGCGUUGAAUCUGCAAAUCCGUUAACGCUACAUCAUACAGUCCGACCAAAUCCUGUCACCGCAAUUGCUCCACUUGUUGACUCGACCAAUGUUACCCUUGAAUUUCCAAGACCAGAAGGGAAGAUAGAAUACUACAUUAUAAAUUGGGUGUCUGUGGAUGAAAGUGAUGAUGAUCCAAAACCAAAGACAAGGAAUAUGACUGGUUUUGGCUCUGAAGGUGGUACCGUCCGUGCACUUGUCGAAGACUUAAUGCCUGGUAUAAAAUACCAGUUUGAUAUUCACACAGUUUCGUACAAUCUUCACAGCGACAUCACCACAUUAACUGCUAGGACAAUGCCAUUGAUACUUUCGGAAGUGCUUGUUGUGAACAACCAGCAAGCCACAGAUACUGUUACAUUGAGGUAUACACCAACCCCACAGUCUUCAUCGCAUUUUGAUAAAUACAGGUUCUCUCUUUCGGGAUCCGGUGCACCCGUGAUAAGAGAAAAAGAUGCCAAUGAUACUGAAUGGAAGGUCACUUUUACUUCUCUCACUCCUGGGAAAUUGUAUAACAUUACUUUAUGGACUGUUGCUGACCAUGUGCUCAGUCAACCGUUACACCGUCAAGACCGACUUUACCCUGAGCCAAUCACUCAGUUAAAUGCAACCAAUAUCACUGGGACUACGGUCACUCUGACCUGGGACAAACCGAGAGGAGAAUACAAUGCAUUUGAAGUGCAGUACUUGAACACAGAAGAGUUGCUGAUUCAAAAUUUGACCCAAGAAAAAACGUUCACCGUAACUGACCUUAAGCCGUACAGAAAUUACACUUUCACAGUUGUCGUAAGAUCUGGAAUGGAAGCGACAAUUCUUCGACGAUCGUUGCCAAUUUCUGCAGUCUUUACAACCCAUGAAGGCAUCCCAGGAUUGGUGACUAACUUCCACCCAAAAGAUAUCCAGCCAAGUGAAAUUCAUUUCAUGUGGAUUCUUCCACCCAGUGAGCAAAACGGAAUAAUUCGCAAAUUUACAAUAACAUAUGGACUUGAGAAUUCUGUAUAUACACAACGGAAGGAUUUUAAACCUUGGGAAACGGAAGGCACAAUAAGGAACCUGAUGCCUGGAAAAACAUACAUAUUUCAUAUUCAAGGAGAAACAAAAGUCGGUUAUGGACGAGAAGCUAUUUGGAAACAAACAAUGCCAAUUUUAGCCCCUCCAAAACCGAGUCCACAAGUUGUCCCCACUGAGGUUUGCCGUACAUCGACUACAAUCCAGAUAAGGUUCAGGAAAAACUAUUUUUCAGAGGCAAAUGGACCUGUUGUUGCGUACACAAUAAUUGUCGCUGAAGAUGACACCAAGAACGCUUCUGGGAUUGAAAUGCCAGGAUGGAGGGAUGUCCAAGCUUACAGUGUUUGGCCACCAUACCAAGUGAUAGAACCUUAUUUCCCUUUCAAAAAUGCGUCUGUUGUUGAUUUCACAAUUGGUACCGAGGAUUGUGAAACUAAGAUGAAUACUUACUGCAAUGGGCCGUUAAAAGGAGGUACAACUUACAGGGUCAAAAUAAGGGCUUUCACAGCACCAGAGAAAUUCACAGACACUCAUUAUUCAUUUUCAAUUCAAACAGAUCAAAAUACAACCCCACUCAUAGUGGGCAUUACAAUCCCAAGUGUGGUCUUGCUGAUUCUCUUUAUUGUGAUUCUUCUAAUGAGAAGGAACAAAAUCAUAGGAAGACGACCAACAGAAAAUAGAGCGAGUGACAAUCUUAGCAUACAAGACAGUAUCAUGGAAACAACUCGACCUAUACGCCUCGAAAACUUUGCUGAGCAUUAUAGAAUCAUGUCAGCAGAUUCGGACUUCAGGUUCUCUGAGGAAUUUGAAGAGCUGAAACACGUCGGCCGAGAGCAACCAUGUACAUUUGCAGACUUGCCUUGCAACCGGCCCAAAAACCGGUUUACGAAUAUUUUGCCUUAUGACCAUUCCAGAUUUAAGCUCCAGCCAGUUGAUGAUGAGGAAGGCUCGGAUUACAUAAAUGCAAAUUAUGUUCCUGGUUUCCAUUCACCGAGGGAAUUCAUUGUGACCCAAGGUCCAUUGCAUUCUACAAGAGACGAUUUUUGGAGAAUGUGCUGGGAGAGUAAUUCUCGUGCCAUUGUAAUGCUUACACGUUGUAUAGAAAAAGGUCGAGAGAAGUGUGAUCAUUAUUGGCCUUACGACACCAUGCCAGUCUACUAUGGUGAUAUUUCUGUAACAAUAUUAAAUGACAGUCAUUAUCCGGAUUGGAGCGUCACUGAAUUUAUCAUGGCCAGAGGUGACACUCAAAGGGUUAUAAGACAUUUUCAUUUCACGACUUGGCCAGAUUUUGGCGUACCUAACCCACCCACAACUCUAGUCCGUUUUGUGAGAGCCUUUAGAGAGAGGAUAGCACCAGAACAACGCCCUAUCGUUGUACACUGCAGUGCUGGAGUCGGCCGGUCGGGAACUUUCAUUGCCCUAGACAGGAUAGUGCAGUCUCUCAACCAUGGUGCAGACACGGUCGAUAUUUUUGGAAUUGUCUGGCAGAUGCGAAAGGAGAGGGUGUGGAUGGUUCAGACAGAACAGCAAUAUAUAUGCAUCCAUCAGUGCCUUCUGGCUGUCCUCCAGGGUGACGACAAUCAAGCACCCCCAAGGGAAAUACACCACAAUCCGGGGUUUGAAGUGUGUAAAUACAAGAAUACCAUGUUAGACAUAAUCUGUAUUUGGUGCUGUAAGAGGUGGAGGAAAUUGAGGUGAUGGAUGGGUUUUAGGUAAGAGCGGCAAUGUUAGUAACAAGAGUGGGGUCAAGACGCCAGAAUUUCACAGGAAGGAGAAGCAUCGGUGAUGAUGAUGAAGGGAUAGCUGAGUCCGGAAUGUGAUGAUGUACCCAUUUGGACUACAUUCUAGAUUAAAUGGAGUUUGUCUGUUUUAAUCAAAUAACAAAGUUUUAAUUAUUCGUCCCCUCCAUUUUAUAAUAAACACCGAGUUUGAACGAGGACAGAGAAUAAACUUUACAAACUUAA